AUUUCAAAAUGAUUGACAGAUAAAGCCUGGAAAGGAACGGCCUUUAGCAAUACAGGGCUCCCGGCAGUCUUAGACAAUUCGUAGCAACAUCAACAGCCAGUUUUCAAAGAGAUGGCGCGCGAUAAAAUGCUUCAACUUUCUCGACAAACGUCCGAUUUGUCAUUCGAAUGUCAGGAAACUACGAACAAAACUUCAAGGGGGAUGUGGAAAUCAUGCGUUUUAUAUCGCAAAAACCGAAUUACGAUGAAGCGAUAAAGACAAUCUUCUCGAUGAAGACUCAAGUUUUCAAUUAUGCAAGAGUGGCCCAUACCAGAAAGAAAAGUCCCAUGGGUGCACGAGCAAUCCAAGGGAGGUGUCGAAACAGCUCGGUGUUGACAACGCCUGGAUGAAGUGCAUUGGCAGUCACAUGAGUACUGUCUAUGGACAGUCGUCUUUGUAGAGCAUAGGUGAACAGGACAUUGGCAACUUUAGCUUGGGCAUAAGCGCCAAAUCUGGAGUACGAUUUUCUAGAAGAUAGGAUAAAGAUACCUUAUUAAAUUUAUUUUGCUUUCUUUUCA
Nematostella vectensis (starlet sea anemone) is the source of this 557-nucleotide long non-coding RNA. RefSeq lists it as uncharacterized. The transcript is spliced from 2 exons. Lineage: Eukaryota; Metazoa; Cnidaria; Anthozoa; Actiniaria; Edwardsiidae. The record is from RefSeq and is a predicted model, not a curated record.